AACGAUACUAGCUUGCUAGUAGGCGUCGAUUGGCGGACGGGUGAGUAACGCGUAGGAAUCUACCUGAUAGUGGGGGAUAGCCCGAAGAAAUUCGGAUUAAUACCGCAUAAUCUAUUCGUAGUAAAGUGGGGGACUUUCGAGCCUCACGCUAUCAGAUGAGCCUGCGUAAGAUUAGCUAGUUGGUAGGGUAAAAGCCUACCAAGGCGACGAUCUUUAGCUGGUCUGAGAGGAUGAUCAGCCACAUCGGGACUGAGACACGGCCCGAACUCCUACGGGAGGCAGCAGUGGGGAAUAUUGGACAAUGGGGGCAACCCUGAUCCAGCAAUACCGCGUGUGUGAAGAAGGCCUGAGGGUUGUAAAGCACUUUCAAUUGUGAAGAAAAGCUAGUGGUUAAUAGCCAUUAGCCUUGACGUUAACUUUAGAAGAAGCACCGGCUAACUCCGUGCCAGCAGCCGCGGUAAUACGGAGGGUGCAAGCGUUAAUCGGAAUUACUGGGCGUAAAGCGUGCGUAGGCGGUUUAUUAAGUCAGAUGUGAAAGCCCCGGGCUUAACCUGGGAACUGCAUUUGAAACUGGUCAACUAGAGUAUGGUAGAGGAAAGUGGAAUUUCUGGUGUAGCGGUGAAAUGCGUAGAUAUCAGAAGGAACAUCAAUGGCGAAGGCAACUUUCUGGACCAAUACUGACGCUGAGGUACGAAAGCGUC
Molecule: ribosomal RNA, 701 nt
Filed under: uncultured bacterium
Lineage: Bacteria
Description: bacterial SSU rRNA
Rfam family: Bacterial small subunit ribosomal RNA
Source: RNAcentral